UACGGGGGGGGCAAGCGUUGUUCGGAAUUACUGGGCGUAAAGGGCUCGUAGGUGGCCAACUAAGUCGGACGUGAAAUCCCUCAGCUUAACUGGGGAACCGCGUCCGAUACUGGAUGGCUUGAGUUUGGGAGAGGGAUGCGGAAUUCCAGGUGUAGCGGUGAAAUGCGUAGAUAUCUGGAGGAACACCGGUGGCGAAGGCGGCAUCCUGGACCAAUAUUGACGCUGAGGAGCGAAAGCCAGGGGAGCAAACGGG
RNAcentral lists this ribosomal RNA (253 nucleotides) under uncultured bacterium. RNAcentral's name for it is "partial 16S ribosomal RNA". It matches the Rfam family "Bacterial small subunit ribosomal RNA", at positions 524 to 776 of the family's 1533-position model. The record is from RNAcentral.